UGGAGAGAGCAGGAUCCACCAGAACAAAAAGGGGAACUGACAGCAGAUCAUGCAGCGGAGUAAUUUAGUGCCAGCUGGGAAAUGUAAACAGGGUCAGAAGAUGGCUGGGCAGGGGAAGGAUGAGAGGGAGGGAAAAGUGUGCUAAAGGAGAAACUGAGAUCAGAGAGCAGGAGAAAACUGGAAGUAGCUGGCUGGGUAAAGAUCUGAGGGCACACAGCUGAUGAGAAGAUAAGUAUGAAGACUGUUUCUAUCCUACGUGUGGGAAUGCAGGAAAGGGAGGUAUGGCAACAUAAAUAGGCAGAAGAUUAUGUGAAGAUAAGCACUAAAGAGGCAACAGAUGACUUAGUAUUGCAUCUUCAAGGAUGAAAAUAUGCUAGAUGGAGUGAAGAAGGAGGAAGGAAACUGCAGAGUUCCAUAUGCUGAGAUCUUUUUAACCCACUUCCUCGGUGAGCGAGAGCUGGUUUUAAGGGAGUGAAAACAGAUUUGAAGGUGCCUCCCUUCAAAGGAGCUGCCUGUUAAUCUCUCUAACAAGUGGGAGCCUUUCUGAGAGCCAUUGACAGCCUGGAAUAUCUGCCAUGGACAAAGACAUUCAUGGCAGGGUUCAACCAGUGGUUGAAUCCACGUGAACCAGGGAAUCUGGGAAAGGAUCAUGGAGAAAGCUUCUAGCUGAAAUGGCUUCUUUUGAAUCACAAACAGAAUAUCCCUUCAGCCACCAGUAACUCAAACCCUUGGUAAAACCAGCUCCAGGCUAAAUUCAUCACAAGCCACAGGUUGUGUUUUAUGGUCUACGGUUGAUUUAUGGGUACAAAAACAAAAAGUCAGUGCAGCGUGGCUCUCGCAGCCCUCUUCUUGUGGCAACACUUCACAACGCAGAGCAAGCCUCUCCCAGCUGAAGAACAAAAACUUAUCAUUACAGGAGCAGAAACAAAGCAUUAUGCACACCUUGCUGCUUCCAUUACCUCAGAUACAGACGCCCCCCAGAAUAUGUAUUAUUCUCUAGGUAA
Long non-coding RNA from Lagopus muta (rock ptarmigan), 1004 nucleotides. RefSeq lists it as uncharacterized. NCBI's taxonomy places the organism in Eukaryota, Metazoa, Chordata, Aves, Galliformes, Phasianidae. The transcript has 6 exons. The record is from RefSeq and is a predicted model, not a curated record.